RNAcentral lists this ribosomal RNA (483 nucleotides) under uncultured bacterium. RNAcentral's name for it is "partial 16S ribosomal RNA". It matches the Rfam family "Bacterial small subunit ribosomal RNA", at positions 28 to 523 of the family's 1533-position model. The record is from RNAcentral.
GACGAACGCUGGCGGCGUGCUUAACACAUGCAAGUCGAGCGAGGCCCCUCCUUCGGGAGGGUGUCCUAGCGGCGAACGGGUGAGUAACACGUGGGCAACCUGCCCCCGGCUCUGGGAUAACUCCAAGAAAUUGGGGCUAAUACCGGAUAUGACCGCUGACCGCCUGGUCGGCUGGGGGAAAGAUUUGUCGGGUGGGGAUGGGCCCGCGGGCUAUCAGCGUGUUGGUGGGGUAGUGGCCUACCAAGGCGACGACGGGUAGCCGGGCUGAGAGGGUGACCGGCCACACUGGGACUAAGACACGGCCCAGACUCCUACGGGAGGCAGCAGUGGGGAAUAUUGCGCAAUGGGCGGAAGCCUGACGCAGCGACGCCGCGUGGGGGAUGACGGCCUUCGGGUUGUAAACCUCUUUCAGCAGGGACGAAGCGAAAGUGACCGUACCUGCAGAAGAAGCACCGGCCAACUACGUGCCAGCAGCCGCCGUAA